Molecule: ribosomal RNA, 406 nt
Filed under: uncultured Armatimonadia bacterium
Lineage: Bacteria; Bacillati; Armatimonadota; Armatimonadia
Also listed under: 1 other name
Description: partial 16S ribosomal RNA
Rfam family: Bacterial small subunit ribosomal RNA
Source: RNAcentral
AUUAGGAAUCUUGCACAAUGGGGGCAACCCUGAUGCAGCGACGUCGCGUGGAGGAUGAAAUCUUUCGGGAUGUAAACUCCUUUUCUCAGGGAAGAAAAAAAUGACGGUACCUGAGGAAUAAGCCCCGGCUAACUACGUGCCAGCAGCCGCGGUAAUACGUAGGGGGCGAGCGUUGUCCGAAGUUACUGGGCGUAAAGAGCGCGUAGGCGGGCUUCUAAGUGAGAGGUGAAAGGUUCGGGCUCAACCCGGAGAGUGCCUUUCAUACUGGGAGCCUUGAGUGCGGGAGAGGCAAGUGGAAUGGUCGGUGUAGCGGUGAAAUGCGUAGAUAUCGAUCGGAACACCCGUGGCGAAGGCGGCUUGCUGGCUCGCAACUGACGCUGAGGCGCGAAAGCGUGGGGAGCAAACA